RNAcentral lists this ribosomal RNA (420 nucleotides) under Fusobacteriota bacterium. Its description in RNAcentral is "Fusobacteria bacterium partial 16S ribosomal RNA". It matches the Rfam family "Bacterial small subunit ribosomal RNA", at positions 355 to 776 of the family's 1533-position model. The record is from RNAcentral. Lineage: Bacteria; Fusobacteriati; Fusobacteriota.
UGGGGGAUAUUGCACAAUGGGCGAAAGCCUGAUGCAGCGACGCCGCGUGGGGGAUGAAGGCCUUCGGGUUGUAAACUUCUUUUGCUCUGAACAAGGCAUGCCUUUGGGGUGUGUUGAGUGUAGGGGUUGAUUAGCGCCGGCUAACUACGUGCCAGCAGCCGCGGUAAUACGUAGGGCGCGAGCGUCGUCCGGAAUUAUUGGGCGUAAAGGGCUUGUAGGUGGCUGGUUGCGUCUGUCGUGAAAGCUCAUGGCUUAACUGUGGGUUUGCGGUGGGUACGGGCUGGCUUGAGUGCAGUAGGGGAGGCUGGAAUUCCUGGUGUAGCGGUGGAAUGCGCAGAUAUCAGGAGGAAUACCGGUGGCGAAGGCGGGUCUCUGGGCUGUUACUGACGCUGAGGAGCGAAAGCGUGGGGAGCGAACAGG